AUGAACCUAUUUGGAAGGAAAUCUUCGAGGAGACGAUCCUCGGGGGCAUCUUCUAGUGACAGUUCUGCUCGCCAGUCCUAUCUGGAACCAAGUGAAAGUUCCACGCGUGAUGCUGCCACCAAAACAUGCUUAUGGCCUUGCGAUGAAUAUAUGGUGCGUGUGGGCAUUAAGGAGGAAUUUGAGCAAUAUGUUCACAAUGCUGGCCUCGGUCCUUACCUUUCAAAUAAGUGUGACCAACGCCAACUCCUCACUGAGACAUUUGUCAAAAGAUUUACAUUUUUCCCUCGUGAGCCUAGGGUGUCUUUUAUGCUUUAUGAUAAUCCAUUUACCAUCUCACUGGAGAAGUUUGCUUACCAUUGCAAACUGCCAUAUUGGGGUUCGCUUGAUGGACCACCGAGGGCUGAGUACGAGUCCUUCUUGACUAGCCUUUGUUACGGUGAAAAUAGGGGAGUGACACAAGGCAGAAUAAAGAGCAUCCACUUUCCCGCAAUUUGGUACUUUGCAUUAUUUAACGGGAAAUGCAUAGUAGGCAAGCAAGACUGUAGCACACUGUGUGCGCCAGACUUGAGCCUCAUCCACACCGCUCUCACUGGUGAAUGGAACUAUAAUAUUGGAGCGAUUGUUGCACGUAGACUUCAGAAUAAUGCUAAUGGUGGCUGGUGCUAUGGGGGAAUUUAUGCCACACGUUUGGCACGAGAGUUGGGCAUUUCACAUUUACCCUUUGACCCUAUCCUACCCACGCAGUAUUUAGACUUUGACACCUUAAAAGAUCAUAAGAUCCUCAAAGGAAAAAAUCAUGACUUCAAUUAUAAUUUGUUGUUUGACCAAACCUUUUUUGUGCAUACAUAUUUGCCCGCACCUACUCUUUUUGACUAUCACAACAAGGGGAGAUAUUUUGUUCUUGAGAGCGAGGCACGAGCUCAUAACGCAGUAGUGGUGGCAGCACAGCGUGCCGAGGCAUCCGCACCUAGAGCCUCUGUGAGCUUCCACGCAGACUUCUACCCUCUAGGCUACUGA
This 1017-nucleotide ribosomal RNA is filed under the name Triticum aestivum (bread wheat). RNAcentral's name for it is "partial small subunit ribosomal RNA". The record is from RNAcentral. Lineage: Eukaryota; Viridiplantae; Streptophyta; Magnoliopsida; Poales; Poaceae.